UGCAGUCGAGCGACUGAUUAGAAGCUUGCUUCUAUGACGUUAGCGGCGGACGGGUGAGUAACACGUGGGCAACCUGCCUGUAAGACUGGGAUAACUUCGGGAAACCGAAGCUAAUACCGGAUAGGAUCUUCUCCUUCAUGGGAGAUGAUUGAAAGAUGGUUUCGGCUAUCACUUACAGAUGGGCCCGCGGUGCAUUAGCUAGUUGGUGAGGUAACGGCUCACCAAGGCAACGAUGCAUAGCCGACCUGAGAGGGUGAUCGGCCACACUGGGACUGAGACACGGCCCAGACUCCUACGGGAGGCAGCAGUAGGGAAUCUUCCGCAAUGGACGAAAGUCUGACGGAGCAACGCCGCGUGAGUGAUGAAGGCUUUCGGGUCGUAAAACUCUGUUGUUAGGGAAGAACAAGUACAAGAGUAACUGCUUGUACCUUGACGGUACCUAACCAGAAAGCCACGGCUAACUACGUGCCAGCAGCCGCGGUAAUACGUAGGUGGCAAGCGUUAUCCGGAAUUAUUGGGCGUAAAGCGCGCGCACGCGGUUUCUUAACUCUGAUGUGAAAGCCCACGGCUCAACCGUGGAGGGUCAUUGGAAACUGGGAAACUUGAGUG
This 609-nucleotide ribosomal RNA is filed under the name Priestia megaterium. RNAcentral's name for it is "bacterial SSU rRNA". It matches the Rfam family "Bacterial small subunit ribosomal RNA", at positions 56 to 648 of the family's 1533-position model. The record is from RNAcentral. Lineage: Bacteria; Bacillati; Bacillota; Bacilli; Caryophanales; Bacillaceae.